UACGUAGGGGGCUAGCGUUGUCCGGAAUCAUUGGGCGUAAAGGGUGCGUAGGCGGCGCGGUAAGUCGGGUGUGAAAUCUCGGAGCUUAACUCCGAAACUGCAUUCGAUACUGCCGUGCUUGAGGACUGGAGAGGAGACUGGAAUUUACGGUGUAGCGGUGAAAUGCGUAGAUAUCGGGAGGAACACCUAUGGCGAAGGCAGCUCGCUGGGACGUUACUGACGCUGAGACGCGAAAGCGUGGGGAGCAAACAGG
RNAcentral lists this ribosomal RNA (253 nucleotides) under uncultured bacterium. Its description in RNAcentral is "partial 16S ribosomal RNA". It matches the Rfam family "Bacterial small subunit ribosomal RNA", at positions 524 to 776 of the family's 1533-position model. The record is from RNAcentral.